Molecule: long non-coding RNA, 537 nt
Filed under: Anser brachyrhynchus (Pink-footed goose)
Lineage: Eukaryota; Metazoa; Chordata; Aves; Anseriformes; Anatidae
Description: lncRNA (ENSABRG00000008296.1)
Source: RNAcentral
AUGAAUCUUGUUUAUGUAGUACUAUCCAAUUGUAGAGAGAAGUGUUUACCUGCUUGUUUAUUAAUUUACAGUUGUGUUCCCCAGCUGCAAUCAGAGCAGUUUCUCUUUCAGAAGUUUAUUAAAAGCAAGCAUCAAAGAGAAGGUCUUCCACCAAGGGCUGGGAAAUGCAUAAAGCUCUUCCCUGUAGGAGGAGUGGUAUCUCCCAUAUGCAUCUGUAGAAAAUUGUUGGAAAGUGUUCUACAAAGACCAAGAGAAAUGUCAAAGGCAAGUGCAGAGAGUGAACAUGACUAUGUGGGAAGAAGAGUGAAGAUUCAUGCCCAGAAAACAUUAUUCUUACCUCACACCAGUUUUACUUCGUGUUACUUCGUUGAACAUGCUAGGAUGAGAUCAGCUAGCUGUACAGUGAGAUGUGACGAUCAGGAUAUUUACAGCAUGGGAUGUGACCUUCGGCUGCCCUGGUCUGUGCAAAUGGCAGGAAGAAGCAGAGACAAUAUUUGUAGUUGUUGCUGCUCUACACCGGUGGACUUGGGGCAGUAG